CAGGUUCCGACACGCGGGCUCUGCAGCGCGGGUGCAACACGGAAGGCGACUCGUCGGAUGGCUCGUGUCCCGCGGACCUCGAGAGCCGCCUUGGCAGGCGCAAGAGGCCACUGGGCUCCAAGCCGAACUGGGAGAAGAACUGCACGCACGACGAAGCGCAGCGCCGCCAACUCGAGGCCGGGGAGCGAUUGCGCCACUGUCCCCACGGCAACGCCAUUCGGGAGCUGGACGAGAACUUGCCAGCGCACGCCGAGCAGCUUUACUGGACGCAUGGGUGGCAAACAGAGAAGUCAUGGAAAACGGCCCAGGCCAAUCCUGACGGCACGAGAUCACCGCACUUGAACAAGCACAAGACGUCACAUUCACAAGAAAGUCCAAGAAAAGACACACGAUGCUGAAUUGCACAAGAGCACCAAUCAAAGUCACUUUUAGAUGUUUUGUACACUUAAAUUAUUUGCACUUAUUUUUAUAGACGGUCACAAAAUGUACUAUUUAUUAACCACUAAAUAAACACAGAUUUGGAGUCAUUGCUUUUCUUUUUGG
Long non-coding RNA from Syngnathus typhle (broad-nosed pipefish), 543 nucleotides. RefSeq lists it as uncharacterized. NCBI's taxonomy places the organism in Eukaryota, Metazoa, Chordata, Actinopteri, Syngnathiformes, Syngnathidae. The transcript has 3 exons. The record is from RefSeq and is a predicted model, not a curated record.